This 82-nucleotide small RNA is filed under the name Flavobacterium xinjiangense. RNAcentral describes it as "Flavo-1 RNA". It matches the Rfam family "Flavo-1 RNA". Lineage: Bacteria; Pseudomonadati; Bacteroidota; Flavobacteriia; Flavobacteriales; Flavobacteriaceae. The record is from RNAcentral.
UUGCGUUAGGGAUUGCAAUGAAAAUCCUUUUUAUUUUUUUCUUUAAAAAAUAAAAAGAUUGUAAUGGAAAGCCCGACCGAAG